Molecule: ribosomal RNA, 1017 nt
Filed under: Triticum aestivum (bread wheat)
Lineage: Eukaryota; Viridiplantae; Streptophyta; Magnoliopsida; Poales; Poaceae
Description: partial small subunit ribosomal RNA
Source: RNAcentral
AUGGCAGCCAUGACAAUCACCACCUCGAGCUUCCUCAAGACCUCAUUCCCUGGCGUUUGCAUUCCGGCAGCCACUCGCACCCCCUCCUGUGCCGCCACCCGGCGCACCGGGGCCAUCUGCAACUCCAUCUCCUCCUGCACCCCUCCCUAUGAUCUCAGUUCCUUCAAGUUCAGCCCCAUGAAAGAAUCUGUCGCCUCCCGUGAGAUGAUCCGACGGUACAUGACCGACAUGAUCGCCGAUGUCAACACCGAUGUCAUCAUCAUCGGAACUGGCAGCGCGGGACUGUCCUGCGCCUACGAGCUCUCCAAGGACCCGUCUGUUAACAUCGCCAUCAUCCAACGGUCCGUUUCCCCUGGCGGCAGCGGCUGGCUCGGCAGCCAGCUCUUCUCCGCCAUGGUCGUGCGCAAGCCGGCGCACCUCUUCCUCGAUGAACUCAACAUCGAGUACGACGAGCAGGAGGACUACGUGGUCAUCAAGCAUGCUGCGCUCUUCACCUCCACCGUGCUGAGCCGCCUCCUCGCGCGGCCCAACGUGAAGCUCUUUAACGGCGUCGUCGUGGAAGACUUGGUUGUCAAAGAGCAUCGCGUCACCGGUGUGGUCACCAACUGGGCGCUCGUGUCGAUGAACCAGGACACACACUCACAAACACAAUCACACAUGGACGCCAACGUCAUGGAAGCCAAGAUCGUAGUAAGCUCAUGUGGCCACGAGGGGCUAUUCAGUGCCAACGGAAAGGGAGUCAAACGGCUCGAGGACAUCGGAAUGAUCAAGACGGUGCCCCGAACCGGAAUGGAAGCGCUUGACACGAACGUAUCCGAGGAUGCAAUUGUUGGCUUAACCCGCGAGGUCGUCCCCGGCAUGAUCGUCGCUGGCAUUGAGGUUGCCGAGAUCGACGGGCCCCAGAGGAUGUGCCCAACGUUCGGCGCCACGAUUAUCUCCGGCCAGAAGGCAGCGCACCUGGCACUCAAGGCGCUCGGCCGUCCGAACGGCAUCGACUCGGAGACGGUCCCAGCGUGA